AAUCGAACCCGGAGAUAGCUGGUUCUCCUCGAAAUAGCUUUAGGGCUAGCCUCAUGAGAGUCUUAUGGAGGUAGAGCACUGAAUUGCCUAGGGGGCGUCAAAGCUUACCAAAGCAUAUCAAACUCCGAAUGCCAUCAAGAUGAUUCAUGGGAGUCAGACCAUACGAGAUAAGUUGGAUGGUCAAAAGGGAAAGAGCCCAGACCUACAGCUAAGGUCCCAAAGUACGUGUUAAGUGGAAAAGGAUGUGGGGAUUCUAAGACAACUAGGACGUUGGCUUAGAAGCAGCCAUUCAUUGAAAGAGUGCGUAAUAGCUCACUAGUCGAGAGUCCCUGCGCCGAAAAUGUCCGGGGCUGAAACACGACACCGAAGCUUAGGAAUGUGUAAACAUUGGUAGAGGAGCAUUGCUAGCGGGAUGAAGCCAUACCGUAAGGAGUGGUGGACUGCUAGGAAGAGAGAAUGCCGGAAUGAGUAGCGAGAUGAAGGUGAGAAUCCUUCAGGCCGAAUAUCUAAGGUUUCCAGAGUAAAGCUGAUCUGCUCUGGGUAAGUCGGGACCUAAGGCGAGGUCGAAAGACGUAGUCGAUGGAUAACAGGUUGAAAUUCCUGUACCGCAUAUAAACAGAACUGUGGGGACACAGACAGGGAAUGGAAUCCGGGAAUGGAUAUCCCGGUGCAAGCGAGGUAGGAGUGCUGUUGGCAAAUCCGCAGCACGAUCUGAAGACGUGACGCGUACCGAACAUAAGUAGGGAAGUCCAGGCCCCUGGCUGUCAAGAAAAGCCGCUAUUGUUUUAUAUGUGCCCGUACCGCAAACCGACACAGGUGGAUGAGGAGAGAAUCCUAAGGCCGACGGGAGAAGUAUUGUUAAGGAACUCGGCAAAAUGACUCCGUAACUUCGGGAGAAGGAGUGCCAUGGAAAAGUGGCCGCAGAGAAUUGGCCCAAGCAACUGUUUAGCAAAAACACAGGUCUAUGCAAAACCGAAAGGUGAGGUAUAUGGGCUGACGCCUGCCCGGUGCUGGAAGGUUAAGGGGAGAGGUUAGCGCAAGCGAAGCUUUGAACUUAAGCCCCAGUAAACGGCGGCCGUAACUAUAACGGUCCUAAGGUAGCGAAAUUCCUUGUCGGGUAAGUUCCGACCCGCACGAAAGGCGUAAUGAUUUGGGCACUGUCUCAACAAUGCACCCGGUGAAAUUGAAAUACCAGUGAAGAUGCUGGUUACCUGCGCCAGGACGGAAAGACCCCAUGGAGCUUUACUCCAGCUUGAUACUGGGAUUCGAUAUUGCAUGUACAGGAUAGGUGGGAGACUAGGAAGUGGUGACGCCAGUUGCCAUGGAGUCAAUGUUGGGAUACCACCCUUGCAGUAUUGGGUUUCUAACCAGCAGCCGUGAUCCGGCUGGGGGACAAUGUCAGGUGGGGAGUUUGACUGGGGCGGUCGCCUCCGAAAGGGUAUCGGAGGCGCUCAAAGGUUCCCUCAGAAUGGUUGGAAACCAUUCGAAGAGUGCAAAGGCAGAAGGGAGCUUGACUGCGACACCGACGGGUGGAGCAGGUACGAAAGUAGGACUUAGUGAUCCGGUGGUAUAAAGUGGGAUUGCCAUCGCUCAACGGAUAAAAGCUACCCUGGGGAUAACAGGCUUAUCACUCCCAAGAGUUCACAUCGACGGAGUGGUUUGGCACCUCGAUGUCGGCUCAUCGCAUCCUGGGGCUGUAGUAGGUCCCAAGGGUUGGGCUGUUCGCCCAUUAAAGCGGUACGCGAGCUGGGUUCAGAACGUCGUGAGACAGUUCGGUCCCUAUCCGGCGCAGGCGGAGGAUAUUUGAGAGGAGCUGUCCUUAGUACGAGAGGACCGGGAUGGACGGACCACUGGUGUAUCUGUUGUCGACCAACGCCAUGGCAGAGUAGCCAAGUCUGGAAGGGAUAAACGCUGAAGGCAUCUAAGCGUGAAGCCCCCCUCAAGAUGAGAUAUCCCUCAGAAAUGAGUAAGACCCCUUGAAGACUACGAGGUAGAUAGGAAUGAGGUGUAAGCACAGCAAUGUGUUCAGCUGACAUUUACUAAUCGGUCGAGGGCUUGACCAA
RNAcentral lists this ribosomal RNA (2063 nucleotides) under human gut metagenome. Its description in RNAcentral is "bacterial LSU rRNA". It matches the Rfam family "Bacterial large subunit ribosomal RNA", at positions 831 to 2925 of the family's 2925-position model. The record is from RNAcentral.